UUAAAUUACACAUUAUCUAAUAUAAUAAAUGCUUAUUGAACUACAUAUCCAAACAAUGCAUUUAAAAGCACUUAAACACUUAAUAAAUGCUUUUAUUAAAAGAUCUGCUAACCCCAAACGGACCAUGGACCUGAAUUAUGUUCCAUGACAAUGGAUUCAGGUGGAAGAUUGACCAUCAGAAUAUCAAUUAAAGACCAAUGUCUGCACUAAAAUAAUCUUUCAAACUUUUAACAUAAUUGCCUAGCACUCUUCCAAGAUAUUGAUAGAAGUUCAAUGAAUAAUUGAUAAUGCAAUGCGUGGACCACGCUUCAACAAACAUAUGGACUAAUAAUUGAUUCAUAUGCAUGCACUUGACUGAAUAUUGCGCGUAUUACAAGCUAAGUUUCCAUAGGGCUUCACGAGGCUUUGAUUUAUCCUACACGUAUCAUUUCUGAGCCUUUACAUACUCGAGCUUAAGCUAUGCUUGACAAAUUAAAAGGAAGCAAAAACAAAUCCAGACGGGGUUUAGAACACGCCUUACAAAUACUUAAACAAGACACACACAAAAUGAGGUCACUUCACCGUAAAAGCAGUCACAGAAAAGGUGAAAGAAACUCUCUGGUUAAUUGACCUAUCAUUUUAAGUUUGAAAGUAGUAAAUAUGACUGAGUGGACAAACAAUUGGAAUCAGCAAAAGGUGCCCAAGAAUAUUAACAAUUCUAAGCUAUUGUGCUUAAGAACAAAAAGCAGGGCAGUUCAUCUAAUCCACUUCUCUACCACAAAAUCAAGCACUAAUCAAAAGACAAUUGAAAACAUUGAAAAUUAUGGGUUUGACAAUUCAUACUUAAAUCCCAACCCUAGCGAAGCGCACUAAGAAAAAUGUUUAGUCAAAGGUAGAAAGCUUUUGUCACGGAAACAUUCUAAAAUCUUGUGUAGACGCAUAACCCAAGAAAGUAUAAAAUUAAAUCUACUCGUAUACGUUUGAAACCCCUCCAUGUUAAAGGCUUCAGAUAUACAAGUACCAGCAUACAUCCAGGUACUUUGUCAGAGGAUUGGUCAAUCUUUUUCAAUACUCCCUUAACUUCAACCUAGAUCGCCACCUCAAAAACAUGGACUUCCUCUCACUCUAUGUAACCCACAAAUAACAACCAACAAUUAUCUCAUUUUUGCAGUAACUGAGAUCCCUUGUUCCACCAAUUCCCCCUUCUGAGCUACCAAAGAAGAAAAUAAGAAGUGUGAACAAAGAAAGAAAAGUUACAUUUAAAGCAUUCUAAACCUGCUGCACAUGAAGUGGAGAAGAUAUCAGAACCAAAUGUAUGUAAGUAAAAAAUUAGACAUAAAAAAGGUCUGAGACGUGUUUUCAAGUUUAACAUACCCUGGAACUUCAUAUACCAAGAGGAGGUCAUCUUCUUGACAGGAAGUGUAGAUGCAAGCAACACGCUGCUUCGAAAGCAGAGGAGCCAAAAGUAUUGAAUAAGCACAAAAAAAGUGGGCACAUAGAUAAAAAGAAGGGGCCAAGUUAGAAACACAAACCAAAAGCAAAUGACAGAACAAAUCACGACAAUUAGACCAACAAAGUAUGUCAGCAAUCAAUCAUGAAGGAAAUCAAGACGGAUAAAAAAUUAUAAAACUUCUGAAAGGCAGCGGCAACCGUCCAAUCACCACAGACAGGCCUACAAAGCAGUAAUCAGUAGAGAUAGAGCUUUUAUAUUUGAUACUCCAAUUCUUCCUCAUGAACUGAACAUUGUCCCAACGCUCUGCAAAUGUCAUAAGAGCACUGCAAGGUUAAAGAUGUGAGUCCCAAACUUCCAACAAGUAAGUCAU
RNAcentral lists this long non-coding RNA (1802 nucleotides) under Coffea arabica (coffee). Its description in RNAcentral is "long non-coding RNA (CARA_LNC001492)". The record is from RNAcentral. Lineage: Eukaryota; Viridiplantae; Streptophyta; Magnoliopsida; Gentianales; Rubiaceae.